AUACAGAGGGUGCAAGCGUUAAUCGGAAUUACUGGGCGUAAAGCGCGCGUAGGCGGUUUGUUAAGUCGGAUGUGAAAUCCCCGGGCUCAACCUGGGAACUGCAUUCGAAACUGGCGAGCUAGAGUAUGGUAGAGGAUAGUGGAAUUCCGGGUGUAGCGGUGAAAUGCGUAGAUAUCCGGAGGAACAUCAGUGGCGAAGGCGGCUAUCUGGACCAAUACUGACGCUGAGGUGCGAAAGCGUGGGGAGCAAACAGGAGUAGAUACCCUUGUAGUCC
RNAcentral lists this ribosomal RNA (274 nucleotides) under uncultured bacterium. RNAcentral describes it as "partial 16S ribosomal RNA". It matches the Rfam family "Bacterial small subunit ribosomal RNA", at positions 523 to 796 of the family's 1533-position model. The record is from RNAcentral.